Molecule: unclassified non-coding RNA, 382 nt
Filed under: uncultured bacterium
Lineage: Bacteria
Description: contains 16S-23S intergenic spacer region
Source: RNAcentral
UCCUUCUUAUCGAAGGCAGUUUUCGAAGAGUGCAUCCCUUGCGGGAUUAGCAACAUCGAAUGGGGGUUGCGCUCGUUGCGGGACUUAACCCAACAUCUCACGACACGAGCUGACGACAACCAUGCAGCACCUCUGCGGACUCCCUUGCGGGUCGGCCACUGUUUCCAACAGCCUACCAUCCGUAGUUCAAGCCCAGGUAAGGUUCUUCGCGUUGCGUCGAAUUAAACCACAUGCUCCACCGCUUGUGCGGGCCCCCGUCAAUUCCUUUGAGUUUCAACCUUGCGGUCGUACUCCCCAGGCGGGGUACUUCCUGCGUUAGCGCCGGCACCCAGAGGGUCGCUCCCCCAGGCACCUAGUACCCAUCGUUUACGGCGUGGACUAC